RNAcentral lists this transfer RNA (69 nucleotides) under Ilyophis brunneus (muddy arrowtooth eel). RNAcentral's name for it is "tRNA-Phe". It matches the Rfam family "tRNA". Rfam says of the family: Transfer RNA (tRNA) molecules are approximately 80 nucleotides in length. Their secondary structure includes four short double-helical elements and three loops (D, anti-codon, and T loops). Lineage: Eukaryota; Metazoa; Chordata; Actinopteri; Anguilliformes; Synaphobranchidae. The record is from RNAcentral.
GUUAAUGUAGCUUAAACACAAAAGCAUGGCACUGAAAAUGCCAAGAUGGGCCGUGAAAAGCCCCAAUGA